CCGUUUUGCUUCUCGUAGAUUUUGGGUUGAGUGUGUCACCCACAUUCCACCGUAUAUAGGUUAAAAUUUGCACAUGUUACGCCUGUCUGAAGUAAUAUUUGAAAAAGACCACUCCACCACCAUAAAGGGUGUCCACCAAAAUCAGUCUAAACCGAUGGUUAUAAGAACCAUUAUUGCCUGCAACUCCAAGGACAAAGAUUCUGAUGUUAUAAAACAAUAGCAGGCCGCUAUUUAUCAUUAUAAUAGAAAACAAUGGCCAAUAAUGGGAAAAAAAAAAAACACCUCCAUUUGCUUCAAUCUUUGUGAGUUGGGAAAAAUGCUUUUAACUAUUAAUGAAAUAAAAAACAUUCUUAGUCUAGCUCAAAACUUGAAUAAUUAAAAAUGCUAUUUUACUGAUUGAAUUGGUGCAAAUGGUAAAUUAUGGUUGUGGCAAUAUGCCUUGCGGAUGAAAGUUCAAACCGUCUUUAGGUAGGCCACAUCAUCCUCUGGUGUCGCACGUGCAGCUUCAGCAACGAACAAGUAUGGAGGAAUUAGUGCACUCCUUGGGUGUUCCUUUAUAAGGAAGGCAUAAUAAUAAAAACACUUUCUUCCGGACAUGUUCAAAGCCCAAAAAAUUCCGCCAGAUCUGAUAGGUUAGAACAUGACAUGAAAAAGCCAAAUAUCGAUUCCCAGACAAGAUAUGGCACAAUAGCCAUCACACAUUAAAUUCCAAGAUCUAACCAAAAAAUGAAUUAAAUACCCAAUAGUAGCAAAAUCUUAUCAAGAAAAACUAGCUAAAAAAUAUUAAUUAAAUUUUUUUACUCUAUAUAAUUAUUCAAAAUCUAUCUAAUGCACCAUCAAUAUAAAAUUAAAUAUACAUCCAUAUGGACCCUCACAGUCCCCUUGCUUAAGCUAUAAUAUCUUGCUCAAUUAAAAUCUAAAUUCAUUCCAAUCCAAUCAUAAAUAUCAAUCUGCCAUUAAUCACAAAUACCGUGACUAUUAUGUGGUCAACUCCCAUACUAUGAUAUCUCCUAAUCCACAUGGACCAUGAAGUGGAUUAGCUCCAAGAUACCGUUUGCAGCGAUGGAUGAAAUCACCUAAAAUGACUAAUCAGAAGGAAUCAUUUUGUGUUCCUUAUCCUACGAGUAUCCAAGAUUCAUUCAAUACAUAUCCAACAUUAAAAUAAAUAUAUGCCUAAAUAUAUACCCAUUGAGUUCUCACAAACAACAUAGUUUGCACAUAUUGUCCAAAGAAAAUAAGACAUCACAUAUAAAGUGCA
RNAcentral lists this long non-coding RNA (1258 nucleotides) under Elaeis guineensis (African oil palm). Its description in RNAcentral is "long non-coding RNA (EGUI_LNC023349)". Lineage: Eukaryota; Viridiplantae; Streptophyta; Magnoliopsida; Arecales; Arecaceae. The record is from RNAcentral.